UGUGAGCUACCCAAUAUGUGUGGAGGGAUAGAACCUGGGUCCCCUGGAAGAGCAAGGAAUGCUCUUAACUACUGAGUCAUCUCCCCACCCUGUAAUUUCUAUGUUUUGUGUUAGAAAAGAAUUGUGGUUUCUGUGAGUUGCUUCAGAGGAGCUCAGGGAAAGAGGCAGCAGGAGACAGAUGCCAUGAGAAGAUCAUGGAGGACUUCCAUUCUCCAUCAGCUUUUAUAGACUGAAUAUUAUCUCUCAGAAAGAUAUGCAUGAGUCCUAACUCCCAAUACCUGUGAAUGUGAUCUUAUUUGGAUACUGGACCUUGGCAGAUAAAAUUAAGUUAAUGCUCUUGAGAUGAAAUCACCCUGAAUUUAGGGUGCACCCCUAGACUGUUGUCUUGAUAAGGGAAGACACUGGACCUCAGGAAAGAAGAUGAUAUGAAGACUGAGACAGACGUAGGGUAGCCACAGCCAAAGAAACUGAUCUUUUCCAUCUUGCCUGGGUAUCUGCAGAGCAGCUUCCUGCCAUGAAGUAUUGUCCCUAUGCAUUCAUUGGCCUCUGUGCCUGGGAACUGCUGCAUGGGCACAGAGGGCACCUGGGUGCCUUCAGGCCAUCUGCCUCCUCAGGCUGAGGAACCAGGAACCUGGUGAGGUCCAGUCAUGUGUGAUACCUCAGUAAAACCCCCCACUCUAUCCCCCACAGACAAAGAGAAGCUUAAACCAGGAUUCGUAAGUGUAGAUAAGAA
This is a non-coding RNA of Peromyscus maniculatus bairdii (prairie deer mouse), 733 nucleotides long. Lineage: Eukaryota; Metazoa; Chordata; Mammalia; Rodentia; Cricetidae. The record is from RefSeq and is a predicted model, not a curated record.